RNAcentral lists this long non-coding RNA (1635 nucleotides) under Marmota monax (woodchuck). The record is from RNAcentral. Lineage: Eukaryota; Metazoa; Chordata; Mammalia; Rodentia; Sciuridae.
GCCUUCUACCCCUUUAGUGUUCCAAGUUAUCCUCUGUUUAUCCUCCUCUCCUGUAUCUUUUUAUAUCUCUCUGCUUCCUUGUAUCUAUAUUUAAAUACAGUUCAGUCUCCCCUGUCUGAAAAUAAAGCAUAACUCAAAUAGCCAGUUCUUUCAACCACUCUUUCCUUAUGGCCCCCCAUCUAUUCCAUUUCUCCUCUUCAACUUCUUCAAAACAUUUUUGGGUAAUCACCAUCUCCACCUUAUUACUCUUCACUUUCCCUUACCUUAUUCACGCAGUUGGCACCCAUCAUCCACUGGUCCUGUUCUUCCCAAGAACCUUCCCACCACUGAGUGCUGUGAGUCCUUCCCAAUCCUCAUCUUCUGAUCUCUGUGCAGCAUCAGAUACUGGCAACCACACCAAUGCCAGCUUCCCCUGCCCUCCAUGUGAACAGACUCUCCCAGUUUUCCUGCUCCUCUCUGACUGGACUCUCCCUUUCCUCCUCCAACUUUGCUCCCUUUCCCUAUCUGUUUGACAUUGUGUCUCCCAGAGUUCGACCCUCAGCCUUCUGUGCAUCUCACUCAAUGUACAUCCCCUGUGGGAGCCCAUCCUCAGAAACCCAAUCCUUCUCCAGUCUCUGUAGCCAUCUGCUUCUGGGCAUGUGUACUUGAAUGCCCCACAAGCCCCCACUCAGGAAGACCAAAGCUUUCAAACAUGGAAGCUUCAUUACUUUGCUUGAAGCUCCUUAUGGUCCCCUAGUGGUUCUUAUGACAAAACUCUUCAUCAUAAUUUGGCUGUCAAGGUCCUUCACCAUGGCUCUGAACCUAACUCUUUCGGUUCAUUUCUGGCCACAUUUCUGGCUUUGCAUUAAGCUCCCAACUGAGCUAAACUCUUGAACUGUCCAUUGGAUCCCCCAAUCCUAUGUCUUUGCAGGUUCCUCUAGAGCAUGUCUUGUUCCUUGGCUGUCUAAGUUGCCCUUCUCUUGUGCUGUCUACAGGUCUCUGCUAAACUCUCUUGAUGGUAUACAUAGAGUGUAUUAUAUUGCCCUCAACCAGUGGACCAUGAUCUGUGGAGAUAGCACUAAGGGGACAUAUUAUCACAUCUCCUGGGCCUGUCUUGUGCUUUCCUUGGCCAUAAUAGGAAAUAUUUCAGUAGCCCAAUUUGAAAAUAUUGAAUUAGAAAUAUCAGCAUAAAAAUAUCACUGGUGUGCCUUCUCUCUUAGAUGUCAAACACCCUCUCCAAAGCCAUGAAAAUGUCUUUUCAGAGUGCCCGUAAGAAUCCACCAUCUCAUUUCAUAGAGAGAAGAGUACUCAUGUACAAUCAUUUGUCCUUGGUCAUUGUGACAUAUUUUUGCAAAACUUCAUCAUGCAGUAUUUUAAUGAUAAUAAAGUUCAAUUGUAGUGCAAUUUAAUAUUCUGGCUUUUUUCUAAAGCAAAAUAAAUUUACUUUUCAGGUUAGUUAUGAAACUUCCAUUCUGUUGCUGCUCUUAUAUUCUCAAUGUUACCUUUCUAAAAUUUAUUUGUUUUCCAGAACAUUUAAACUCACUUGGGUUACCCGUCUAUGUGACCCACAGUGCAAAAUUGUUGUCCAAAGUGUUUGUGAUUUUUUAAAGCCAGUAAAGAAGGAUGGGGGAUAGAGUUAACCUCAAUGACAUUGAC